ACUUGCAGACAUCAUGUGUGACUGAGUAUUGGUGUUAUACUCGUCGUUUUUCAAACUGCAG
RNAcentral lists this small RNA (61 nucleotides) under Klebsiella pneumoniae subsp. rhinoscleromatis ATCC 13884. Its description in RNAcentral is "SgrS RNA". Lineage: Bacteria; Pseudomonadati; Pseudomonadota; Gammaproteobacteria; Enterobacterales; Enterobacteriaceae. The record is from RNAcentral.